Molecule: ribosomal RNA, 241 nt
Filed under: uncultured bacterium
Lineage: Bacteria
Description: partial 16S ribosomal RNA
Rfam family: Bacterial small subunit ribosomal RNA
Source: RNAcentral
AAGCGUUUUCCGGAAUUAUUGGGCGUAAAGAGCUCGUAGGCGGCUUGUCACGUCGAUUGUGAAAGCCCGAGGCUUAACCUCGGGUCUGCAGUCGAUACGGGCUAGCUAGAGUGUGGUAGGGGAGAUCGGAAUUCCUGGUGUAGCGGUGAAAUGCGCAGAUAUCAGGAGGAACACCGGUGGCGAAGGCGGAUCUCUGGGCCAUUACUGACGCUGAGGAGCGAAAGCGUGGGGAGCGAACAGG